GAUGAACGCUAGCGGCAGGCUUAACACAUGCAAGUCGAGGGGCAGCAUAAUGGUAGCAAUACUAUUGAUGGCGACCGGCGGACGGGUGCGUAACGCGUAUGCAACCUACCCUUUACAGGGGGAUAACACUGAGAAAUCGGUACUAAUACCUCAUAAUAUUCUGGGAGGCAUCUUUCGGAGUUGAAAGCUUUGGUGGUAAAGGAUGGGCAUGCGUUGUAUUAGCUAGUUGGUAAGGUAACGGCUUACCAAGGCGACGAUACAUAGGGGGACUGAGAGGUUAACCCCCCACAUUGGUACUGAGACACGGACCAAACUCCUACGGGAGGCAGCAGUGAGGAAUAUUGGUCAAUGGACGGAAGUCUGAACCAGCCAUGCCGCGUGCAGGAAGACGGCUCUAUGAGUUGUAAACUGCUUUUGUACGAGGGUAAACGCAGAUACGUGUAUCUGCCUGAAAGUAUCGUACGAAUAAGGAUCGGCUAACUCCGUGCCAGCAGCCGCGGUAAUACGGGGGAUCCAAGCGUUAUCCGGAUUUAUUGGGUUUAAAGGGUGCGUAGGCGGUUUAGUAAGUCAGCGGUGAAAUUUUGGUGCUUAACACCAAACGUGCCGUUGAUACUGCUGGGCUAGAGAGUAGUUGCGGUAGGCGGAAUGUAUGGUGUAGCGGUGAAAUGCUUAGAGAUCAUACAGAACACCGAUUGCGAAGGCAGCUUACCAAACUAUAUCUGACGUUGAGGCACGAAAGCGUGGGGAGCAAAGAGGAUUAGAUACCCUGGUAGUCCACGCAGU
RNAcentral lists this ribosomal RNA (783 nucleotides) under uncultured bacterium. RNAcentral's name for it is "bacterial SSU rRNA". It matches the Rfam family "Bacterial small subunit ribosomal RNA", at positions 28 to 803 of the family's 1533-position model. The record is from RNAcentral.